GCCAGCGCCCUGGAGGGGCCCCCCACCAGCAGCAGCCCCCGGAUGAUGACGGCGAGGAACCCGGAGAGCAUGACAAAGACCUGGAAGACGUCGGUCCAGAUGACAGCCUUCAUCCCGCCCUGCACCAGGGGGAGCACGCCAUCCCGCGGGGCCGUGUUUGCUUUGGAGCCAUGGAAAAAGCACGUGCACGAGAACAAGGGGGCUCUUAGGGGCUGAGCACAGCGGGGACCCCCAUCCCCACACCCCCCCCCAAGGGACUCACCGUAGCCACCACGUAUUGCAGCGUCCCGCAGAGCCGCACGCUGCGUCCGAAGCGCCUCUCCAGUCCCCCGUGCCCACCUCGUAGGUGCUGGUGAGCCCCAGGCGGUAGAAGACGGGCAAGAAGAGGUACGCAGUGAGCAGCGUGUUGAGCAGCUGCCCCAGGCACAUCCAGAGGAACUUGGAGCCGUAGCGGUACGCCUCUGCCGGCACCCCCAGCACCUGGAUGGCCGACAUGAAGCUGGCCGACAGCGAGAGCCCCACCGGCACUGCUGCCAUGCGCCGACCGCCCAUGAAGAAGUCCUCCGAGGUCUUCUGGCCACCUUUGGACAGCCCAUGGAACAGCCCGAUGCCCGUGGAGAUGAGCAGCAUCAGGCCAAACACGCCGUAAUCCCAGAGGCUGAAGGGCGCAGCAGUCCCAAUGUGUCCGGGGGCAGCGGCACUGCAGCAAGAGGGAGCACCGGGUGGUGAUGGAGGCGCAAGGUGCGGAUGAGAGAGCAUGGAGAGGAGCAUCACCGCAUCGCCAUCCCUGCGCCCAUCCCAGUGGAAGGGUGCAAAGGAGCAGCCCCAGAGAGCACCCCCAAACAGCCCCAGAUACCCCAAAUACCUC
Molecule: long non-coding RNA, 868 nt
Organism: Gallus gallus (chicken)
Lineage: Eukaryota; Metazoa; Chordata; Aves; Galliformes; Phasianidae
Exons: 4
Source: RefSeq, a predicted model, not a curated record